RNAcentral lists this ribosomal RNA (468 nucleotides) under uncultured bacterium. RNAcentral describes it as "partial 16S ribosomal RNA". It matches the Rfam family "Bacterial small subunit ribosomal RNA", at positions 28 to 507 of the family's 1533-position model. The record is from RNAcentral.
GACGAACGCUGGCGGCGUGCUUAACACAUGCAAGUCGAACGGAAAGGCCCUGCUUUUGUGGGGUGCUCGAGUGGCGAACGGGUGAGUAACACGUGAGUAACCUGCCCUUGACUUUGGGAUAACUUCAGGAAACUGGGGCUAAUACCGGAUAGGAGCUCCUGCUGCAUGGUGGGGGUUGGAAAGUUUCGGCGGUUGGGGAUGGACUCGCGGCUUAUCAGCUUGUUGGUGGGGUAGUGGCUUACCAAGGCUUUGACGGGUAGCCGGCCUGAGAGGGUGACCGGCCACAUUGGGACUGAGAUACGGCCCAGACUCCUACUGGAGGCAGCAGUGGGGAAUAGUGGACAAUGGGCGGAAGCCUGAUGCAGCAACGCCGCGUGCGGGAUGACGGCCUUCGGGUUGUAAACCGCUUUCGCCUGUGACGAAGCGUGAGUGACGGUAAUGGGUAAAGAAGCACCGGCUAACUACGUG